CCUUGUCCUCAUUUCGAUACUGACCCUCUCCCCAGCAAAGAUCCUCUCUCCUCUGCUAGGCAUCCUUGGUAUGCAAAACAUGGCUUCUCUGUCCUGGUAUUCCAGAGUGGGACUGAGAAGUGCUGGUGCUUGGAGCUGUCCUGUUGCUUGCUUCUCAUCUCCCUGCAGGUUUGUACAGCAUCUUCAGACAACAUGAGAGGACACUGAGGGGGAGGUGGCAUAGGAUGGUGAGAAUGCUGCUGCUGGGAAAGCCAUGCAUGCCAGGGAGCAAAGGCUUCAGUGGUUACUGCUGCUCUGCACUACUGUUUGGCCGUGAAUGGAUGUGAAUGCAGCUGUUGGAGGAAUUGGGCUUCUGGGUGCCCAUCUGCUUAGGUCAAAUGCUGCUCUGGAAGCAACACUGCUGUCACCUGUGGGGCAGAGCUGAGAUGUGAGUGAACACUUGCUGUUCUUCAGAAUCAGGCCGGGGUGUGCAAGUCCAAGCACAGGUUCAGUGGAUGGAUGUGUGAAGAAAGUCUGAGGCAAGGAGGGAAGCAGAAUGCCAAGCAUGGGAGGCCUGGAGCAUGCAGCCAGUCCCAGUCCUGCUGCCCUGGGAAUGUUCUGUAAUGCCUGCAUGCCAGGCAAGAGGGAGUGACUUCAAAGCACAUCUUUAUUAGGGUACACUGCUUAGCAUCAAAGAAAUGUCAGGGCUGCUCUACAC
This is a non-coding RNA of Lonchura striata (white-rumped munia), 697 nucleotides long. The record is from RefSeq and is a predicted model, not a curated record. Lineage: Eukaryota; Metazoa; Chordata; Aves; Passeriformes; Estrildidae.